Long non-coding RNA from Dreissena polymorpha, 2470 nucleotides. RefSeq lists it as uncharacterized. Lineage: Eukaryota; Metazoa; Mollusca; Bivalvia; Myida; Dreissenidae. The transcript is spliced from 2 exons. The record is from RefSeq and is a predicted model, not a curated record.
UCAAAAAAUAACCCACUUUCAUACCAAAACACACUUAAACCAACAUAAAACUGUGUUUUUUCUGAGUUUUUCUUAGCGGAAGUUGGUUUUUGCUAAUAAAAGUGAGUUUUAUGUGCGCUAAACUGUGCUUAACUGAGUUUAAAGUUGGUUAUUUUAAGAAGAUGUGUGUUUAAGCGAGUUUUUUUCAGUAAGAAGUCGGUUUUUUGUGUGUCAAAAGUGAGCCUUUUUAUUUAUGAGUUGGUUUAUGUGUGUUUAAGUGUGUCUUUUUGUUUUAUAAGCGAGUCUUUUACAACAGAAGUUGGUCUUUUUUUAAACAGAAGUGGGUUUAAGCGAGUUUAACUUGGUCUUUUUGUAAAUAAGUUGAGAGCUGCAGCGAGGCUUAAAGACUCACUUUAACACACUUUUCAACAAGUUGGUCUUUUGUUUAUUAAUAUAACUCAUCAAUGAAACAAUAAUUCUUCAACUAGGUCUUUGUUUGAUGUUUAUAGCCAUAAAUAAAACAAGUCAAUUGUAAAGGGGCUUUUUUUACAGCUUGUUUGCCAUUGUCCCUAUUGUACAUUUGUGUGCUCCCCAUAAUUUUUAGGGAAUAUUGGAUGAAAAUGGCUCUUUCAGAACAUCACAGGUUCACAGAUGGACAACAAGUAUCACUGACAAAAACUAACAAUGGUCAAGCUUAGUUUUAUACAUGAAAAUGAAAGAGUUUGUGUUUCACUUUGAAUUUUUUCUUUAUGUUUGUUUUUAUUAUAAACAAUAUCUUAUGAUUGUUUUAUGUCUUAAUUUUUUAAUUUUUUUUAAACAAUCUCAUAUGAUUGUUUAUAUUUGUUUAAAACAGUAUUUACUUGUAAAAUCUGCAUAUUUAAAUAAUUAUGGUAUUGGAAACAUUAUUUUGGAAAUAAUCUAUUUAUUUUUGUACAUAAGUUAUGCAAGAUUUUGAUAUUUGCAUAUGAUACCAUCAUAUCCAUUUUCUUAAUUUGGAAUAAAAUAAUAAAAUGCCAAACAUUACCUGUGUUACAUAAACUGUCAACAAAAUAACAAGACAAUACCUUAAAACACCCUUAUUUCACACCACUAACAAUAAACAGAUAACAAUCUGUCAGGCAUUCAGAGCUAAACAGGGUACUGAUUAUCUAGGGGUAGAUAAGGCUACUGAUGGGGUCCUAGAGAUAAGGCUGUGUGGAAUAAGAUAUAAGGCUUUUGAUUGGCUAUUGCACUGAGGAAGUUAUCUUUUUGAAAACAACAACUUUUGAAAAACAAGCUGGUGUCAGCAACUGAAUAUUGAGCUAAAUUUAAUUCAGCAACAUUAAUAUAAAGAAGUGAAAGACUUAUAAUGGUAGUGUAAAAUGUCUUGAAAUUCUGUCAGCAUGAAGUAUUGUGUGAUGAAAACAAUGUGUUUUUUACUGCAAGUGGAAAUCAAUAAUAAGUUGGUUGGAAAGGAGGUUGAACUGCCUGUUGUUGUUUUUGGAAUACUGAAGAACAGUUUUAACAGGUUUGUAUUGUCAUUUCUUCACCCCUUUUUUUAUUUAGUUUAUUGAAUUAAUUAUGAUCAUUAUCAUAUUUAUGUAUUGUCACUGGGAAAUGUAAAUGGAUAAGUUAUUGUAUUGCAAUUUAAAGGAUAAACAACACAUUUUGAAGCAAAAAUAGAUAAACUUACACAUGAAAAAGUGUAAAUGUUGUGUACAGUGAAUAAUUAUGGUUGUGUUUCAUGGUUAUUGUCAUCUAAAAUUUUAUUUAUAUCUAUUUCUGGUUAUAACUGAACGGAUUUCUUUCCCUCUUACUUAAUUAGAACUUAUAUAUUUUAAUUUUGAAGGUUAAACUCUUGCCACAAGGCAAAAUUGACAUCGUUGGGAAGAUCCUUUGGAAAGAAUGUGCAUAUUCGCCUGCCUGAUGUAUGGACUUUUAAACCUGGUUUUUACCCUGCACAAGCUGGCAAACUUGAGGGGAACAAGAGUGGGAAAACCUCGCCCUGUCCUUGACCAAGAAAGCUCGAUUUGUUGAGAGAUCAACUGGCAUAAGAGAUGCUCAAGAGGAGAAGGACACAAGCAGCAUCAAUGGAACAACUACAUGUCGCUCCAGCGCCCGCUUUCCAGGUCUCUACCAGCUGCUUUCCAGGUCCCUCCACCCGCCAAGAUCAGGUCUAGGUCCCUGCACUGGCUGCUUUCCAGGUCCCCUAGCGGUCAAGGUCUCUCCAGUAGCUGCUGUGCAGGUCCCAACACCGUAUGCCGUCAAGGUCCCUCCUUAAGCUGAAAUCCAGGUUCCUCAUUCCACUGCGGUUCAGGUACCUCCAACAGCUGAGAUCCAGGUCUCUGCAGCAGCUGCGGUCUAAAUACUCCACCCGCAGUGGUCCAUUGCGGUCAAACUUUUGCUUUAAAAUCUUCCAUAAAUGUCUAUUAUUUUAUAAUGUAUUGUAAAAAUAAUCUGUUAGUAUUAAUUUGCGGUGUACUAUUUUUGUCAUAUAAACAUAAUUUUCGUA